RNAcentral lists this ribosomal RNA (237 nucleotides) under uncultured bacterium. Its description in RNAcentral is "partial 16S ribosomal RNA". It matches the Rfam family "Bacterial small subunit ribosomal RNA", at positions 83 to 334 of the family's 1533-position model. The record is from RNAcentral.
UCCAUGAGUAAAGUGGCGACCGGGUGAGUAACACGUGACUAACCUACCUUCGAGUGGGGGAUAACCUCGGGAAACCGAGGCUAAUACCGCAUAAUAUCGCAAGAUCAAAGCAGCAAUGCGCUGGAAGAGGGGGUCGCGGCUGAUUAGCUAGUUGGCGGGGUAACGGCCCACCAAGGCGAAGAUCGGUAUCCGGCCUGAGAGGGCGCACGGACACACUGGAACUGAAACACGGUCCAG